This 346-nucleotide ribosomal RNA is filed under the name uncultured bacterium. RNAcentral's name for it is "partial 16S ribosomal RNA". It matches the Rfam family "Bacterial small subunit ribosomal RNA", at positions 338 to 681 of the family's 1533-position model. The record is from RNAcentral.
CCUACGGGAGGCUGCAGUGAGGAAUAUUGGGCAAUGGGCGGGAGCCGGAACCAGCCAAGUCGCGUGAGGGAAGACGGUCCGAUGGAGUGUAAACCGCUGUAGGCGGGGAGCAAGGCCGGGCACGUGUGCCCGGAGGGAGAGGACCCGCAGAAGAAGCAGCGGCGAACUCCGUGCCAGCAGCCGCGGUAAUACGGAGGAUGCGAGCGUUAUCCGGAUUGAUUGGGUGUAAAGGGUGCGUAGGCGGAUUUUUAAGUCAGCGGUAAAAUGUCCGGGCUCAACCCGGGCCGGCCGUUGAAACUGGGGAUCUUGCGUGGGCGAGACGUAUGCGGCAUGCGUGUUGUCGCGG